This 498-nucleotide ribosomal RNA is filed under the name uncultured bacterium. RNAcentral describes it as "partial 16S ribosomal RNA". It matches the Rfam family "Bacterial small subunit ribosomal RNA", at positions 28 to 507 of the family's 1533-position model. The record is from RNAcentral.
GACGAACGCUGGCGGCGUGCCUAAUACAUGCAAGUCGAGCGGACGGAUGGGAGCUUGCUCCCAGACCGUCAGCGGCGGACGGGUGAGUAACACGUGGGCAACCUGCCUGUAAGACUGGGAUAACUCCGGGAAACCGGGGCUAAUACCGGAUAACUCUUUCCCUCACAUGAGGGAAAGCUGAAAGAUGGCAUCUCGCUAUCACUUACAGCUGGGCCCGCGGCGCAUUAGCUAGUUGGUGAGGUAACGGCUCACCAAGGCGACGAUGCGUAGCCGACCUGAGAGGGUGAUCGGCCACACUGGGACUGAGACACGGCCCAGACUCCUACGGGAGGCAGCAGUAGGGAAUCUUCCGCAAAGGACGAAAGUCUGACGGAGCAACGCCGCGUGAGUGAUGAAGGUUUUCGGAUCGUAAAACUCUGUUGUCAGGGAAGAACAAGUACCGGAGUAACUGCCGGUACCUUGACGGUACCUGACCAGAAAGCCACGGCUAACUACGUG